UCAUCUCAUAAGCUACAACAAGACGCUUAUGCUUAAGCUGAUUCCGAAAAUGUUUAUCAUCCUCCAAACGUGGAAUCACACUUCAUCAUCACUGUGCGUACGCCUUCUAUAUCGUCUUCUUCACAUCACGAUGCACCAAGUGAAUAAACAAUGACUCUCUUUCAUCGAUUUGCGACUCGGAAUCAAUAUUCAAAAAUGUUCAGUUGAGCACGCGCGAAAACGAAGGAAAACAGAAUUAUAAUCAAGAAAACUCACCGGAUUUGAAGCUUCAAUUGCAAAUAGGGCGAAUCCAAAUGCGAAAUGGCGGAUACUCAGGUUGAAGAUUGUGAAUCUCAGGUUACAGAUUGAAGAUUGAAAAACUCGUGAAUCUCAGGUAGCAGAUUGAAGAAUCAAAUUGUAGAAUGAAAAAGAUGAAUUGCAUAAUGAAGAAACAAAUUGCAGCAGAAUGAAAGAUUUCUUAUGCAGAAUGAAGAAAACCAUAUGCAGAAUGAAAAAAAACUCUGAUGCAGAAUGAAGAAUUUUAGAUGCAGAAUGAAAAAUCUCUGAUGCAGAAUGAAGAAUUUUAGAUGCGGAAUAAAAAAUCCCCCCCGGAUCAUAGUGCAGAUGCGUUUAAAUAGCUAAAAGUUGUUAAAAUUCAUCUUCAAAUUACUUUGAAAUUCACUUCAAAUUGAUUUAAAAUGAAAAAACAGUUAGAGGUUAGUUAGCUAGUUAUAAUGUAUUAGCUAUCAGUUAGAAAUUAUCACUAAGUUAAUUGUGUGUGGUUCUGUUAGUAUGAGUUGGAAGUAGAGUUAGUUGAUUCAAUCUGUUAGAAUGAAUUGGAAAUAGAUAUUAAGAUCUGAAUGUUGGAUGGAGGUGUUAGUGAGUGAAUUGAACUUUGUUAAUGACUUGGUUUGAUUAGUAGGUUAGUUAUGAGACUUUUGCUGAAUUAGUUAGUUAAACUCCAUUAAACAAUGUGAGGUUUUAAUGUUAGUUAAGAACAGUUGGAGUUAGUUUGUUAAUUGGAUUGUUACAGAGUUUGUGAAUGGUUAAAAGUUAAUUGAUUCUAUAAAAAAUGUCAGUUACAGUUAGACAAAAAAUGCUUAUCAGUUAAUUCAAACAAGUUAAGUAGUUAGCAUUAACUUGGAUUUUUUGAAUGUGUGCUAAACCCAUGAAAUUGAAUUUCAAUAAUUUUUUAUUUGGUUUUAAGUUUUACUUGAAUUGUUAACUAGGGUUAGCUGUUGAUGUUUAAUUAGUUAUGGAAUUGGUAUGCUACCAGUGUUCUAAUUGCCAUUGUUUAUUGCUCAAAGCUUGCCACUACUAUAACUUAGGGGUAUUGUGAAAUGCUUAUGUUAGUUAAAUUUGUCUGUGUUAGUUUGUUAUGAAUUGUUUCAGUUAAUGUCAUGGAACAAAAAAUUAGUUAUGGCGAAUUGAGUCAUGGUUGUUUGAAAUCUUGUUGUUAACAUGCUAAUGUAGGUUAAUUAGAAAUGUUAAUUGACUGUUAGUAAAUUUGUUAGAAAUGUUAGGGUUUCAAGUGUUGGUCAAUUUGACAAUGAUUAAAAGAUAAGGCAGUUAGAUAACUGAAGGAUUAGUUGAGGAUUUGAUACUAGUAAAUGUCAAUUUGAGAAUGGUUACUUAGUUGUACCAGUUGGAGGUUUGUAAAUAAUUUGUAGGUUAAGGGCGAUGUGGUUUAUGGCUUGUAAAUGACUAAGGUGUUAGAGAUUAUAGGGAUUGGUUUUUAUGUGCUGGUGUAUGGUUAUGUGUUGAAUCAUGAUGAAUUAGGUGGUGGGGAUUUGUUAGAACAUGGUGGUUACACACUUGCAUAGCAUUAAUCAUUUUAGAUUUAUGAACUAUCAAUUUGUUGUUAUGUUUUUAUUGUAUGUGCAAUGAUUGGAUAUGAUAGUAUAUGCUAUUGGGCCUUGGAUUAUGUUGUGAGUUGCCCAACUAUCAUGUAUGUAUGUGUAAUGAAUUGUCAUGAUUUGGUUUGUAGGUUGCAUUGUAUGUAUUGUAACUUGUUAAUAAUGAUGGUUUGGUGUUUGUAGGAUGUGAUUCAAGGAUACUUGGAGUGCAUUGGAAAAUGGGGGGCAAGAAGCAAUUCCUUCUUUCAAUCUCACGACAAUGGCUAUAGCGACAUAACUAUGCUUGGACUUGUAAAAAUGUAAUGGAAACAUCUUCAAAAAUGUAGGGAAACUAUUGUAAAUGUAAUGAAACUAUGUAAAUAUUUUGAAACUAAUGUAAAUAUUUUGGUCAAAA
Molecule: long non-coding RNA, 2229 nt
Organism: Lathyrus oleraceus (garden pea)
Lineage: Eukaryota; Viridiplantae; Streptophyta; Magnoliopsida; Fabales; Fabaceae
Exons: 2
Source: RefSeq, a predicted model, not a curated record